This 108-nucleotide ribosomal RNA is filed under the name Buckland Valley grapevine yellows phytoplasma. RNAcentral describes it as "partial 23S ribosomal RNA". The record is from RNAcentral. Lineage: Bacteria; Bacillati; Mycoplasmatota; Mollicutes; Acholeplasmatales; Acholeplasmataceae.
AAGGAAAUAAGGGCGCACAGUGGAUCCUUGGCACUAAAUCGAAUUCCCGCGGCCGCCAUCGGAGGAUGCGACGUCGGCCAAUUCGCCAUAUGCGUGAGUCGGAUUACA